This 469-nucleotide ribosomal RNA is filed under the name uncultured Desulfobulbus sp. RNAcentral's name for it is "bacterial SSU rRNA". It matches the Rfam family "Bacterial small subunit ribosomal RNA", at positions 916 to 1381 of the family's 1533-position model. The record is from RNAcentral. Lineage: Bacteria; Pseudomonadati; Thermodesulfobacteriota; Desulfobulbia; Desulfobulbales; Desulfobulbaceae.
GACGGGGCCCGGCACGAAGCGGAGGAGCAUGUGGUUUAAUUCGAUGAUACGCGAGGAACCUUACCUGGCUCGAACGUAAGAUGGACUGUAGGUGAAAGCGUUACAUCUCUUCGGAGCAUUUUCGAGGUGCUGCAUGGUUGUCGUCAGCUCGUGCCGUGAGGUGUCGGGUUAAGUCCCAUAACGAGCGCAACCCUACCUUUAGUUGCCAGCAGUUCGGCUGGGCACUCUAAAGGGACUGCCGGUGUUAAACCGGAGGAAGGUGGGGAUGACGUCAAGUCCUCAUGGCCUUUAUGACCAGGGCUACACACGUACUACAAUGGCCGAUACAAAGGGCAGCGACACUGCGAGGUGAAGCCAAUCCCGUAAAAUCGGUCUCAGUCCGGAUUGGAGUCUGCAACUCGACUCCAUGAAGUUGGAAUCGCUAGUAAUCGUGGAUCAGCAUGCCACGGUGAAUACGUUCCCGGGCCUU